AUUGAACGCUGGCGGCAGGCCUAACACAUGCAAGUCGAACGAGUGGCGGACGGGUGAGUAAUGUCUGGGAAACUGCCUGAUGGCGGGGGAUAACUACUGGAAACGGUAGCUAAUACCGCAUACCAUCAGAUGUACCCAUAUGGGAUUAGCUAGUUGGGGGGGUAAAGGCUCACCAAGGCGACGAUCCCUAUCUGGUUUGAGAGGAUGACCAGCCACACUGGAACUGAGACACGGUCCAGACGCCUACGGGAGGCAGCAGUGGGGAAUAUUGCACAAUGGGCGCAAGCCUGAUGCAGCCAUGCCGCGUGUAUGAAGAAGGCCUUCGGGUUGUAAAGUACUUUCAGCGGGGAGGCGUUACCCGCAGAAGAAGCACCGGCUAACUCCGUGCCAGCAGCCGCGGUAAUAC
Molecule: ribosomal RNA, 406 nt
Filed under: uncultured bacterium
Lineage: Bacteria
Description: partial 16S ribosomal RNA
Rfam family: Bacterial small subunit ribosomal RNA
Source: RNAcentral